GUGGGAGUUGUGUAAGUGAUCCUUUGACCUGAGAUCACCCUGAUUCCUUGUGUACUUGGAUCCAUAUUUUGGUCCACUUUCUAACUUGGUUCUUUGAUCCUUGUAUGUGAUGUUCUGGAUAUGGUGAAGAGUACAUGGAGGUUGUGAGUGAUCAAUAAGGGAUCAGUUACUUCUAAUAUUGGGAGCGAACAUCCUAUAUGAUCUCAU
RNAcentral lists this long non-coding RNA (207 nucleotides) under Elaeis guineensis (African oil palm). RNAcentral describes it as "long non-coding RNA (EGUI_LNC047396)". The record is from RNAcentral. Lineage: Eukaryota; Viridiplantae; Streptophyta; Magnoliopsida; Arecales; Arecaceae.